RNAcentral lists this transfer RNA (74 nucleotides) under archaeon. RNAcentral describes it as "tRNA-Thr". It matches the Rfam family "tRNA". From Rfam's summary of the family: Transfer RNA (tRNA) molecules are approximately 80 nucleotides in length. Their secondary structure includes four short double-helical elements and three loops (D, anti-codon, and T loops). The record is from RNAcentral.
GUCUCAGUAGCUCAGUUGGUUAGAGUGCGUCGUUGGUAACGACGAGGUCGUGAGUUCAAUCCUCACCUGAGACU